AUGACUAGUUUGUGGAGUCUAAGUGAGGAAUAUCACGAGGAGGAAGACGUGGAUUAUGAAGCCGAUGGUGAUCAGGAGAAUAUUGCUACAAGUGCAAGAUCGGACCAGAUCGUUGUAGCUGCUCCCGUUCCUUGUCCGGCUGCCCCUGCUCGUACUGCCGCGGCACCUCGCACUCGCAGCAAGCGGGCAAGGUUGAAUCAACAGGCUCCAGCAGGACGUAACGGACGGCGUGCAAGAACUAAUGAGCCAUCCGAUGGAGAUGAAGCGAAUCAGCAACCACCGCCACCACCACCGCCACCACCCGGACCACAGGUUAAUCCUGCGCCAAAAUUAAGGUCAAAAGCAUGGGAUAACUUCACUUUGAUUGAACAACCUGAUCCUGAUCAAGUAUUUGCUCAGUGCAAAACUUGUAAAGCCAUACUUAGAGCAAGUUCGAAAAAUGGAACAUCUCAUUUGUUAAGGCAUACUGCUAACGUGCAUCCACAUAAUACUCAUGAAGUGAACAACUUUUUUCUGAAAACUGAAAAGAAUGCGGAUGGCUCACAUUCAGUUAGGAACACAAAGUUGGACAUGGAAACUAUUAGAGUUGCAAUCUCUAUGUUCCUAGUUGGGGGUUCACAUGCAUUUAGUGUCAUAGAAGAAGUGGGGUUCAAAAAAAUGAUUGGUGCUGCUUGUCCUCAGUUUAAGAUUGUUAGUCGGUACACAAUUAAAAGGGAUAUCAUGGCAAUGUUUGAAAGAGAGAGGACUGAAUUGAGAGAAACUAUAAGCAAUAGCCGUGGUAGAGUUAGCUUCACCACGGACAAUUGGAAAUCAGAUGUGACAAAGUUUAGUUAUAUUUGUAUUACUUGUCAUUAUGUUGAUGAUGCUUGGAGACUGAACAAAAGGAUAAUAUGGUUUAAAAAGUUGAAUCCACCUUAUGAUGGGGCUACAAUUGCUGAUGAAGUCCAUUUAUGUUUUCGUGAGUGGAAGGUUGAUACCAAAAUAAUGUGCAUGACUCUUGAUAAUGCUGCAUACAAUGAUUCGAUGAUCAACACUUUGAGAACUACAUUGCUGCCUAAAGGUGUGUUACCAUUGUUUGGAACUUUCUUUCAAGUCCGAUGUUGUGCACACAUAUUAAAUCUGAUUGUCCAAGCUGGUUUGAAACUUAUUGAUAAAUCUGUUGACAAGAUUAGAGGGCAUUCAAUAUAUCAAAAUAUCUAG
Molecule: ribosomal RNA, 1200 nt
Filed under: Triticum aestivum (bread wheat)
Lineage: Eukaryota; Viridiplantae; Streptophyta; Magnoliopsida; Poales; Poaceae
Description: partial small subunit ribosomal RNA
Source: RNAcentral